GUUGUCUGGCACAAGGCUUGACACUCUACAGAGCUGGAGAGAAGACAUUCCAGCUAUUGGACAGGGGCCAUGGAGAGGAACCUGGGAGCUGUGCUGGGGAUUCUGUGGAUGCAGAUUUGCUGGGUGAGAGGAGAUGAGGUGGAGCAGAGUCCUUUGGCCUUCAGUCUCCAAGAGGGAACCAGUUCUGUUCUGAGAUGCAAGUUUUCUACCACCAUGACAUAUGUGCAGUGGUUCCGACAGCAUCCCAGGGGCAGCCUCAUCAAUCUUUUUAACCUGGUUCCAGGAACAAAGGAGAUUGGGAGGUUAAAUUCAACAUUCAAUUCUAAAGAGCGCUACAGCACCCUGCACAUCAGGGAUGCCCAGCUGGAGGACUCAGGCACCUACCUCUGUGCGGCCAGGGCACAGUGCUCCCAGCAAGCCUAG
Grammomys surdaster is the source of this 423-nucleotide non-coding RNA. NCBI's taxonomy places the organism in Eukaryota, Metazoa, Chordata, Mammalia, Rodentia, Muridae. The record is from the annotation of a RefSeq genome assembly.